GCUCGCGGGCCGCCGUCCAACGGUCCAGCGUCGGUUGCGGCUGCAGCACUGCAACGCAUAGCGCGAGCGCGGGUGGCGGUUCCCAAACGGCCGGCGCGGCUCCCGUGCUGCGACCAGAGUGGUUCCCAGCCCAGAGUUCCAGGUUCUUGUCAAGAAGAAAGAGUUGGAGGAGAAGCAUGCUAGAUGGAGCAAGAGGAUUUCUUGAAGUGAGAAACAUGCCUUAGAAAGAGGCAGCAGGCUCCCCGAAGGACCUAGAGACCUAGAGACGUAGAGACCAUGUGGGAUCCAAGAAGGUCUCUGUUCAUUUGGGAUGUUGAUGCCAUGAACUUUCUUCUUAGAACCACCUUCAAGAAGAUUCUGUGAAGUUCUUAUUUGUUGCUAAGAAUUUUUUGAAUUCUCCAUUGAUUUUCUUCUAUGAUUCAUUAAUA
Sciurus carolinensis (gray squirrel) is the source of this 428-nucleotide long non-coding RNA. RefSeq lists it as uncharacterized. The transcript has 3 exons. Lineage: Eukaryota; Metazoa; Chordata; Mammalia; Rodentia; Sciuridae. The record is from RefSeq and is a predicted model, not a curated record.